This 253-nucleotide ribosomal RNA is filed under the name uncultured bacterium. Its description in RNAcentral is "partial 16S ribosomal RNA". It matches the Rfam family "Bacterial small subunit ribosomal RNA", at positions 524 to 776 of the family's 1533-position model. The record is from RNAcentral.
UACGAAGGGGGCUAGCGUUGUUCGGAAUUACUGGGCGUAAAGCGCACGUAGGCGGAUAUUUAAGUCAGGGGUGAAAUCCCGCAGCUCAACUGCGGAACUGCCUUUGAUACUGGGUAUCUUGAGUAUGGAAGAGGUUAGUGGAAUUGCGAGUGUAGAGGUGAAAUUCGUAGAUAUUCGCAGGAACACCAGUGGCGAAGGCGGCUAACUGGUCCAUAACUGACGCUGAGGUGCGAAAGCCAGGGGAGCAAACGGG